AACACCUCAAGUCGAGAGAUCUUUUUUGAGAUCUUGAGACUUGGAUUUGAGUGAUCCUAACGACGAAGUCCCUUAAACAAGGACAAGAAGGCAGGUCGCUUGAAAUUCAGGUGCAGCUGAACUUUUCUUCUGAGCUAAAAGCAUUAUUUAUUUAGUCUCCUUUGACUAUUACUUUUUUGCUGCAGCUAACAUAAAGGAAGGAAGGCUUUCAUCAUGCUGACUGAUGCAGGAAUUUAGCGGAAGCAACACACACAUUGUUUCUGUUAG
Molecule: unclassified non-coding RNA, 267 nt
Filed under: uncultured Mortierellales
Lineage: Eukaryota; Fungi; Mortierellomycota; Mortierellomycetes; Mortierellales
Description: sequence contains ITS2
Source: RNAcentral